This is a long non-coding RNA of Rosa rugosa (rugosa rose), 1124 nucleotides long. RefSeq lists it as uncharacterized. NCBI's taxonomy places the organism in Eukaryota, Viridiplantae, Streptophyta, Magnoliopsida, Rosales, Rosaceae. The record is from RefSeq and is a predicted model, not a curated record. The transcript has 5 exons.
CUUGGACUGAGAUUGCACGAACAGAUGGUGAUGGUGGUGGUGGCAUUCAUGAAAUUAACUGUUCUUUUCACGAGCAAAAUCUACACGCAGGUUCUUUUGAUCCAAUCUCUGGGCGUUGAUCCUUAUCUUGUUGUCAAGAACCAUCUUACUUAUAUUCAUUAAGAUCUGUAAGUAGGAGGCUUAGGCCACCCGCCUACUAAUCAAAGAGGCUGAGAGUAAAUCGGUAUUAUUAUUAGUGAAAGAGAGCAGAGUGCGUUCAGCGCAAUUGAAGUAGGGAAUUCCGAUUCACGUCCGGGCCAGCGGUUUCUCUAAAGAGAUUGAAAUUAGAUUUCAGUGACGGAGGCUUCUAAUAACUUCGGACUCUCAAUUAGGGGCAGGAUGUCAAGCAGGGGCAAGGUUUCGAAUCUUAAAGGAAAGAUUAUUAAAUGCCAAGACGAAACGCUGCAGCUAUUGCAGGAGAAACAGAUGUGGUCUGAAUUGGACAGAAGCUGACCUGAGAAGACAAAAACUAUGCAAUUCGAUCCAACCAUCUAAAUUUGAAAAGGAACUCGAGGAUCUGAAGAAGGCCUUGAAGAAUGAGGAGGAGAAUGAAUCCGUGAUAAAAGAGAUUUUUGACCGUAGGCAAGUUAGCUAUGCUGAAUAUAAGAAAUCUAUGGAUUUACAGCUGAUAAAAAUUGAGCGAAACUUAGUUGAGCUAGAGGAGAUCGUGUCUGAUGAGUCAGGAGUCAAUGAACUGUGCAAAAGACGCAUAGAGAUGGAGAAGAGACUAAAAAAUCUUGUCUUCUGUGCGGCUAUGUAUUCUACUCUCGAAUCGAAGGAGUCUAGUGGUAUCUCCCUUCUCAAAGAAGCUAAGCUUGAUCAUCCUGUUGGACAGAAUGGACAGAAAAUGCGAAGAAGGCGAGUCUCGAUAGGACCCUUUGCUUGAUAUAAAAUAUUGAAGACCUGUUUGGAGCAUGUUGGCUGUGUAGUGUACUAGGAACCAUGCAGAUAUCAGAGUUUUGUUUACUCGUUUUCUUUUACAUUUAGAAUUUUAGUUGUCUCUUAUGUUUUUGCCGCAUUGCUAGAUGUUCAAACUGUUCUUAUUUUAUCUCUACCCUUUUGACACUGCUGCGAGCAAAUAAGGA